CUCAGUUCGGAUUGGAGUCUGCAACCCGACUCCAUGAAGCUGGAUUCGCUAGUAAUCGCGCAUCAGCCACGGCGCGGUGAAUACGUUCCCGGGCCUUGUACACACCGCCCGUCAAGCCAUGGAAGCCGGGAGUGCCUGAAGUGCGUGAGCGCAAGCAGCGCCCUAAGGUAAAACCGGUGACUGGGGCUAAGUCGUAACAAGGUAAC
RNAcentral lists this ribosomal RNA (206 nucleotides) under uncultured bacterium. RNAcentral describes it as "partial 16S ribosomal RNA". It matches the Rfam family "Bacterial small subunit ribosomal RNA", at positions 1287 to 1500 of the family's 1533-position model. The record is from RNAcentral.